Molecule: ribosomal RNA, 300 nt
Filed under: uncultured Filibacter sp.
Lineage: Bacteria; Bacillati; Bacillota; Bacilli; Caryophanales; Caryophanaceae
Description: bacterial SSU rRNA
Rfam family: Bacterial small subunit ribosomal RNA (bases 52-300)
Source: RNAcentral
GCCAAGGGAGGGUCAGCAGCGGGGGUAAGCGGAAGGGGCGGAGGGGUGUCCGGAUGUAUUGGGCGGAAGGAGCGCGUAGGCGGCUUGUGGCGUGGACUGGGAAAACCCACAGGGCAACGGUGGGCGUGCAGGCGAUACGGGCAGGCUAGAGUUCGGUAGGGGAGACUGGAAUUCCUGGUGUAGCGGUGGAAUGCGCAGAUAUCAGGAGGAACACCGGUGGCGAAGGCGGGUCUCUGGGCCGAUACUGACGCUGAGGAGCGAAAGCGUGGGGAGCGAACAGGAUUAGAUACCCCGGUAGUC